Hordeum vulgare subsp. vulgare (domesticated barley) is the source of this 241-nucleotide non-coding RNA. The record is from Rfam. Lineage: Eukaryota; Viridiplantae; Streptophyta; Magnoliopsida; Poales; Poaceae.
AUACAAUAAAUACAAUACCGGGCGCGUUAGUGUCUGGCAAUUGGAAUGAGUACAAUCUAAAUCCCUUAACGAGGAUCCAUUGGUGGGCAAGUCUGGUGCCAGCAGCCGCGGUAAUUCCAGCUCCAAUAGCGUAUAUUUAAGUUGUUGCAGUUAAAAAGCUCGUAGUUGGACCUUGGGCCGGGUCGGCCGGUCCGCCUCACGGCGAGCACCGACCUACUCGACCCUUCCGCCCGCAUCGCGC